This 447-nucleotide ribosomal RNA is filed under the name uncultured bacterium. Its description in RNAcentral is "bacterial SSU rRNA". It matches the Rfam family "Bacterial small subunit ribosomal RNA", at positions 329 to 793 of the family's 1533-position model. The record is from RNAcentral.
GUCCAGACUCCUACGGGAGGCAGCAGUGGGGAAUAUUGCACAAUGGGGGAAACCCUGAUGCAGCGACGCCGCGUGAGUGAAGAAGUACUUCGUUAUGUAAAGCUAUAUCAGCAGGGAAGAAACAGACGGUACCUGACUAAGAAGCCCCGGCUAACUACGUGCCAGCAGCCGCGGUAAUACGUAGGGGGCAAGCGUUAUCCGGAUUUACUGGGUGUAAAGGGAGCGUAGACGGCGAUGCAAGCCAGAUGUGAAAGGCCGGGGCUCAACCCCGGGACUGCAUUUGGAACUGUGUGGCUGGAGUGUCGGAGAGGCAAGCGGAAUUCCUAGUGUAGCGGUGAAAUGCGUAGAUAUUAGGAGGAACACCAGUGGCGAAGGCGGCCUGCUGGACGAUGACUGACGUUGAGGCUCGAAAGCGUGGGGAGCAAACAGGAUUAGAUACCCCUGUAC